AUGCAAGUCGAACGGUCUCUUCGGAGAUAGUGGCGGACGGGUGAGUAACGCGUAAGAAUCUACCUUCAGGUUGGGGACAACCACUGGAAACGGUGGCUAAUACCGAAUGUGCCGAGAGGUGAAAGGCUUGCUGCCUGAAGAAGAGCUUGCGUCUGAUUAGCUAGUUGGUGUGGUAAAGGCGCACCAAGGCGACGAUCAGUAGCUGGUCUGAGAGGAUGAUCAGCCACACUGGGACUGAGACACGGCCCUGACUCCUACGGGAGGCAGCAGUGGGGAAUUUUCCGCAAUGGGCGAAAGCCUGACGGAGCAAUACCGCGUGAGGGAGGAAGGCUCUUGGGUUGUAAACCUCUUUUCUCAGGGAAAAAAUAAUGACGGUACCUGAGGAAUAAGCAUCGGCUAACUCCGUGCCAGCAGCCGCGGUAAUACGGAGGAUGCAAGCGUUAUCCGGAAUGAUUGGGCGUAAAGGGUCCGCAGGUGGCAUUGUUUGUCUGCUGUUAAAGAGUCUGGCUCAACCAGAUCAAAGCAGUGGAAACUACAAAGCUAGAGUAUGGUCGGGGCAGAGGGAAUUCCUGGUGUAGCGGUGAAAUGCGUAGAUAUCAGGAAGAACACCGGUGGCGAAGGCGCUCUGCUAGGCCAAAACUGACACUGAGGGACGAAAGCUAGGGGAGCGAAUGGGAUUAGAUACCCCAGUAGUCCUAGCCGUAAACGAUGGAUACUAGGCGUAGCUCGUAUCGACCCGAGCUGUGCCGUAGCUAACGCGUUAAGUAUCCCGCCUGGGGAGUACGCAGGCAACUGUGAAACCCAAAGGAAUUGACGGGGGCCCGCACAAGCGGUGGAGUAUGUGGUUUAAUUCGAUGCAACGCGAAGAACCUUACCAAGACUUGACAUGUCACGAAUUCCGUUGAAAGAUGGAAGUGCCUUAGGGAGCGUGAACACAGGUGGUGCAUGGCUGUCGUCAGCUCGUGUCGUGAGAUGUUGGGUUAAGUCCCGCAACGAGCGCAACCCUCGUUUUUAGUUGCCAGCAUUAAGUUGGGCACUCUAGAGAGACUGCCGGUGACAAACCGGAGGAAGGUGGGGAUGACGUCAAGUCAGCAUGCCCCUUACGUCUUGGGCUACACACGUACUACAAUGCUCCGGGCAAAGGGCAGCUACACAGCGAUGUGAUGCGAAUCUCAUAAACCGGAGCUCAGUUCAGAUCGAAGGCUGCAACUCGCCUUCGUGAAGGAGGAAUCGCUAGUAAUUGCAGGUCAGCAUACUGCAGUGAAUUCGUUCCCGGGCCUUGUACACACCGCCCGUCACACCAUGGAAGUUGGUCACGCCCGAAGUCGUUACCCCAACCUUUUGGAGGGGGAUGCCUAAGGUAGGACUGAUGACUGGGGUGAAGUCGUAACAAGGUA
Molecule: ribosomal RNA, 1397 nt
Filed under: metagenome
Description: bacterial SSU rRNA
Rfam family: Bacterial small subunit ribosomal RNA
Source: RNAcentral